This 253-nucleotide ribosomal RNA is filed under the name uncultured bacterium. Its description in RNAcentral is "partial 16S ribosomal RNA". It matches the Rfam family "Bacterial small subunit ribosomal RNA", at positions 524 to 776 of the family's 1533-position model. The record is from RNAcentral.
UACGGAGGAUGCAAGCGUUGUUCGGAAUUACUGGGCGUAAAGCGCGUGUAGGCGGCCAACCAAGUCUGAUGUGAAAGCCCUGGGCUUAACCUGGGAAGUGCAUUGGAAACUGGCUGGCUUGAGUACUGGAGAGGAAGGGGGAAUUCCCGGUGUAGAGGUGAAAUUCGUAGAUAUUCGCAAGAACACCAGUGGCGAAGGCGGCUUCCUGGACCAAUACUGACGCUGAGGCGCGAAGGCGUGGGGAGCAAACAGG